GGGGACGUAAAGGUUUCGACGGGGAUCUGGAAAUUUCGUAAGCGGGUAGAGCGGGCGAAGGCUCUUUAAUCGUCGCACCAAAAAUAAACGCUAAAUCUAACACUAGAACUUUAGCUUUUGCUGCGUAAUUAAUCGCAGCUGCCUGAGCGGGACAGUACCGCGGGUCUCGCCAGGCUCAAAUGAAGCGGUCAACGUCGCUGGGGAGUUUCCCGGCCCCGGAUGACGUAUUAGGGAAUACCGUUCCAGUUAGCCUGACGGCUGGCGGGCUGGAGCGGGAAUUUUAAAGAACCGUCUGCACCCGGAGAAAGCGGAACGGAUAGGUUUUCGGACGCGGGUUCGAUUCCCGCCGUCUCCACCA
RNAcentral lists this transfer-messenger RNA (358 nucleotides) under Oscillospiraceae. RNAcentral describes it as "Faecivivens sp022793675 Standard tmRNA". It matches the Rfam family "transfer-messenger RNA". Rfam says of the family: Bacterial tmRNA, also known as 10Sa RNA or SsrA, is named for its dual tRNA and mRNA-like properties. Its role is to liberate the mRNA from a stalled ribosome. The record is from RNAcentral. Lineage: Bacteria; Bacillati; Bacillota; Clostridia; Eubacteriales. RNAcentral also lists the same sequence under 2 other names.